This 478-nucleotide ribosomal RNA is filed under the name uncultured bacterium. RNAcentral describes it as "partial 16S ribosomal RNA". It matches the Rfam family "Bacterial small subunit ribosomal RNA", at positions 28 to 523 of the family's 1533-position model. The record is from RNAcentral.
GAUGAACGCUGACAGAAUGCUUAACACAUGCAAGUCUACUUGAUUCUACUUCGGUAGUUGAUGGUGGCGGACGGGUGAGUAACGCGUAAAGAAUCUGCCCUUUAGUUUGGGAUAACCUUUGGAAACGAAGGCUAAUACCUGAUAUUAUGGAGACGUCGCAUGGCGACUCCAUGAAAGCUAUAUGCGCUAGAGGAGGACUUUGCGUCCCAUUAGCUAGUUGGUGAGGUAAUGGCUCACCAAGACCGCGAUGGGUAGCCGGCCUGAGAGGGUGAUCGGCCACAAGGGAACUGAGACACGGUCCUUACUCCUACGGGAGGCAGCAGUGGGGAAUAUUGGACAAUGGGCCACAAGCCCGAUCCAGCAAUUCUGUGUGCACGAUGAAGGUCUUCGGAUUGUAAAGUGCUUUCAGUAGGGAAGAAAAAAAUGACGGUACCUACAGAAGAAGCGACGGCUAAAUAUGUGCCAGCAGCCGCCGUAA